UUAAGUGGAAAAGGAUGUGGGGUUGCACAGACAACUAGGAUGUUAGCUUAGAAGCAGCUAUUCAUUCAAAGAGUGCGUAAUAGCUCACUAGUCGAGUGACCCUGCGCCGAAAAUGUACCGGGGCUAAAACAGUUUACCGAAGCUGUGGAUGACACAAAAGUGUCAUGGUAGGAGAGCGUUCUAUGUGUGAAGAAGGUGUACCGUGAGGAGCGCUGGAACGCAUAGAAGUGAGAAUGCCGGUAUGAGUAGCGAAAGACAGGUGAGAAUCCUGUCCACCGUAAGACUAAGGUUUCCAGGGGAAGGCUCGUCCGCCCUGGGUUAGUCGGGACCUAAGGAGAGACCGAAAGGUGUAUCCGAUGGCCAACAGGUUGAUAUUCCUGUACUAGAGUAUAUAGUGAUGGAGGGACGCAGUAGGCUAACUAAACCGGACGAUUGGAAGAGUCCGGCUAAGCAGUGAGGUGUAAGAUGAGUCAAAUGCUUAUCUUUAUAACAUUGAGCUGUGAUGGGGAGCGAAUUUUAGUAGCGAAGUUAGUGAUGUCACACUGCCAAGAAAAGCUUCUAGCGUUUAAUGAUACUCUACCCGUACCGCAAACCGACACAGGUAGUCGAGGCGAGUAGCCUCAGGUGAUCGAGAGAACUCUCGUUAAGGAACUCGGCAAAAUGACCCCGUAACUUCGGGAGAAGGGGUGCUGACUUAGGUCAGCCGCAGUGAAUAGGCCCAAGCAACUGUUUAUCAAAAACACAGCUCUCUGCUAAAUCGUAAGAUGAUGUAUAGGGGGUGACGCCUGCCCGGUGCUGGAAGGUUAAGAGGAGGGUUUAGCGCAAGCGAAGAUCUGAAUUGAAGCCCCAGUAAACGGCGGCCGUAACUAUAACGGUCCUAAGGUAGCGAAAUUCCUUGUCGGGUAAGUUCCGACCCGCACGAAAGGCGUAAUGAUUUGGGCACUGUCUCAACGAGAGACUCGGUGAAAUUUUAGUACCUGUGAAGAUGCAGGUUACCCGCAACAGGACGGAAAGACCCCAUGGAGCUUUACUGCAGUUUGAUAUUGAGUAUCUGUACCACAUGUACAGGAUAGGUAGGAGCCAUUGACUUCGGGACGCCAGUUUCGAAUGAGGCGUUGUUGGGAUACUACCCUUGUGUUAUGGCUACUCUAACCCAGAUAGGUUAUCCCUAUCGGAGACAGUGUCUGACGGGCAGUUUGACUGGGGCGGUCGCCUCCUAAAGAGUAACGGAGGCGCCCAAAGGUUCCCUCAGAUUGGUUGGAAAUCAAUCGCAGAGUGUAAAGGUAUAAGGGAGCUUGACUGCGAGAGCUACAACUCGAGCAGGGACGAAAGUCGGGCUUAGUGAUCCGGUGGUACCGAAUGGAAGGGCCAUCGCUCAACGGAUAAAAGCUACCCUGGGGAUAACAGGCUUAUCUCCCCCAAGAGUUCACAUCGACGGGGAGGUUUGGCACCUCGAUGUCGGCUCGUCGCAUCCUGGGGCUGUAGUCGGUCCCAAGGGUUGGGCUGUUCGCCCAUUAAAGCGGCACGCGAGCUGGGUUCAGAACGUCGUGAGACAGUUCGGUCCCUAUCCGUCGCGGGCGUAGGAAAUUUGAGAGGAUCUGCUCCUAGUACGAGAGGACCAGAGUGGACUUACCGCUGGUGUACCAGUUGUCUUGCCAAAGGCAUCGCUGGGUAGCUAUGUAGGGAAGGGAUAAGCGCUGAAAGCAUCUAAGUGCGAAGCCCCCCUCAAGAUGAGAUUUCCCAUGAUUUUAUAUCAGUAAGAGCCCUGAGAGAUGAUCAGGUAGAUAGGUUAGGAGUGUAAGUGUAGCGAUACAUGUAGCGGACUAAUACUAAUAGCUCGAGGACUUAUCCAA
Molecule: ribosomal RNA, 1853 nt
Filed under: Streptococcus pyogenes ABC020051161
Lineage: Bacteria; Bacillati; Bacillota; Bacilli; Lactobacillales; Streptococcaceae
Description: bacterial LSU rRNA
Rfam family: Bacterial large subunit ribosomal RNA
Source: RNAcentral